GGGGGGGGCGGGGGGGGGGGGUGGGGCGGGCGGGGCGAGGGGGAGGGCGGGGGGGGUGGCGGACGGGUGAGUGACGCGUAAAGAACUUGCCUCACAGCUAGGGACAACAUGUGGAAACGAAUGCUAAUACCGGAUAUUAUGAUUUUAGGGCAUCCUAGAAUUAUGAAAGCUAUAUGCGCUGUGAGAGAGCUUUGCGUCCCAUUAGCUAGUUGGAGAGGUAACGGCUCACCAAGGCGAUGAUGGGUAGCCGGCCUGAGAGGGUGAACGGCCACAAGGGGACUGAGACACGGCCCUUACUCCUACGGGAGGCAGCAGUGGGGAAUAUUGGACAAUGGACCAAGAGUCUGAUCAAGCAAUUCUGUGUGCACGAUGAAGUUUUUCGGAAUGUAAAGUGCUUUCAGUUGGGAAGAAAAAAAUGACGGUACCAACAGAAGAAGUGACGGCUAAAUACGUG
RNAcentral lists this ribosomal RNA (454 nucleotides) under uncultured bacterium. RNAcentral's name for it is "partial 16S ribosomal RNA". It matches the Rfam family "Bacterial small subunit ribosomal RNA", at positions 38 to 507 of the family's 1533-position model. The record is from RNAcentral.